RNAcentral lists this ribosomal RNA (500 nucleotides) under uncultured bacterium. Its description in RNAcentral is "partial 16S ribosomal RNA". It matches the Rfam family "Bacterial small subunit ribosomal RNA", at positions 30 to 523 of the family's 1533-position model. The record is from RNAcentral.
AUUGAACGCUGGCGGAAUGCUUUACACAUGCAAGUCGAACGGCAGCACGGACUUCGGUCUGGUGGCGAGUGGCGAACGGGUGAGUAAUGUAUCGGAACGUGCCCAGUCGUGGGGGAUAACGUAGUGAAAAUUACGCUAAUACCGCAUACGAUCUAUGGAUGAAAGCGGGGGAUCGCAAGACCUCGCGCGAUUGGGGCGGCCGAUAUCAGAUUAGGUAGGUGGUGGGGUAAAGGCCCACCAAGCCAAAGAUCUGUAGCUGGUCUGAGAGGACGACCAGCCACGCUGGAACUGAGACACGGGCCAGACUCCUACGGGAGGCAGCAGUGGGGAAUUUUGGACAAUGGGCGAAAGCCUGAUCCAGCCAUUCCGCGUGCAGGAUGAAGGCCCUCGGGUUGUAAACUGCUUUUGUACAGAACGAAAAGGUUUCUACUAAUACUAGGAGCUCAUGACGGUACUGUAAGAAUAAGCACCGGCUAACUACGUGCCAGCCGCCGCAGUAA